GGGGAUGCGUGGUUUCGACAGGGUGCUAGGUCGAGAUGAUGCAGGCCGAGGUUGACCAGGCCUCGUUAAAUAGGGUUACGCCAGUAACUGGCACACCUGAACUUGCCCUCGCCGCCUAAGUAGCGACGACGUUCACCCUCUCCUCGGCCCGGUGGGAGUGGUGAUGAGCGACACAAUGCCGGGAUGCCGCGAGCCGGAUCGCCCGCUAGGGUUCGCGUAAGAUUAGUAGGCUAGCGUUCGGUAACCCCGUCGGUGGGGGUGCCGGGGGCGAAAUCAAAUCGCCGACUACGCCUGGAGUGCCAUCCGAUUGAACAUUUUGGACGGGGGUUCGACUCCCCCCAUCUCCACCA
This 350-nucleotide transfer-messenger RNA is filed under the name Chloroflexota bacterium. It matches the Rfam family "transfer-messenger RNA". From Rfam's summary of the family: Bacterial tmRNA, also known as 10Sa RNA or SsrA, is named for its dual tRNA and mRNA-like properties. Its role is to liberate the mRNA from a stalled ribosome. The record is from RNAcentral. Lineage: Bacteria; Bacillati; Chloroflexota.